Molecule: unclassified non-coding RNA, 346 nt
Filed under: fungal sp.
Lineage: Eukaryota; Fungi
Description: partial internal transcribed spacer region
Source: RNAcentral
CUUGGUCAUUACCUCUGGAUCUGGGACAGCAACCGAAUAGUGUAUGCCGCGGAUGGCCGGGCUGCUCGCGUAAUCGGGUGCGUCGUCAGCAUCGAAGAACAAAAACGGGCCAAUCAGGCGCUACGCAAAGCCCAAGAAGAGUUAGCGCGCGUGAACCUCGACUUGGAGCGCAAGGUCGAGGAGCGCACGGCGAAAUUGCAGGAAACCGUCGCCGAACUCGAAAGCUGGUCUUACAGCAUCGCCCACGAUAUGCGCGCGCCUCUUCGGACGAUGCACGGCUACAGCAAACUCCUGGCCGAAGAACACGGACCGAAACUCGAACCCGCGGCGCGUUAUUACCUCCAAC